AAGUAGGGCGGGACACGUGAUAUCCUGUUUGAAGAUGGGGGGACCAUCCUCCAAGGCUAAAUACUCCUGAUUGACCGAUAGUGAACCAGUACUGUGAAGGAAAGGCGAAAAGAACCCCGGUGAGGGGAGUGAAAUAGAACCUGAAACCUUGUACGUACAAGCAGUGGGAGCCCUUUAAGGGUGACUGCGUACCUUUUGUAUAAUGGGUCAGCGACUUAUAUUUUGUAGCGAGGUUAACCGAAUAGGGGAGCCGAAGGGAAACCGAGUCUUAACUGGGCGUCUAGUUGCAAGGUAUAGACCCGAAACCCGGUGAUCUAGCCAUGGGCAGGUUGAAGGUUGGGUAACACUAACUGGAGGACCGAACCGACUAAUGUUGAAAAAUUAGCGGAUGACUUGUGGCUGGGGGUGAAAGGCCAAUCAAACCGGGAGAUAGCUGGUUCUCCCCGAAAUCUAUUUAGGUAGAGCCUUGAGCGGACACCUUCGGGGGUAGAGCACUGUUUCGGCUAGGGGUCCAUCCCGGAUUACCAACCCGAUGCAAACUACGAAUACCGAAGAGUGAUACUCAGGAGACACACGGCGGGUGCUAACGUCCGUCGUGGAGAGGGAAACAACCCAGACCGCCAGCUAAGGUCCCAAAGUCUAUAUUAAGUGGGAAACGAAGUGGGAAGGCUUAGACAGCUAGGAUGUUGGCUUAGAAGCAGCCAUCAUUUAAAGAAAGCGUAAUAGCUCACUAGUCGAGUCGGCCUGCGCGGAAGAUGUAACGGGGCUCAAAUAUAGCACCGAAGCUGCGGCAUCAGUAGCAAUACUGUUGGGUAGGGGAGCGUUCUGUAAGCGGAUGAAGGUGGCUCGAGAGGGCUGCUGGACGUAUCAGAAGUGCGAAUGCUGACAUAAGUAACGAUAAAACGGGUGAAAAACCCGUUCGCCGGAAGACCAAGGGUUCCUGUCCAACGUUAAUCGGGGCAGGGUGAGUCGGCCCCUAAGGCGAGGCUGAAAAGCGUAGUCGAUGGGAAACGGGUUAAUAUUCCCGUACUUGGAUAAACUGCGAUGUGGGGACGGAGCAGGUUAGGUUAUCGCACUGUUGGAUAUGUGCGUUUAAGUUGGUAGGUGAGAAGUUUAGGCAAAUCCGGACUUCUAUCACACCGAGAGAUGAUGACGAGGCUCUACGGAGCUGAAGUAACCGAUACCACACUUCCAGGAAAAGCCACUAAGCUUCAGGUUUAUCUAAACCGUACUGAAAACCGACACAGGUGGUCAGGUAGAGAAUACUCAGGCGCUUGAGAGAACUCGGGUGAAGGAACUAGGCAAAAUAGCACCGUAACUUCGGGAGAAGGUGCGCCGGCGUAGAUUGUAGUCCCUUGCGGGCGAAGGUUGAACCGGUCGAAGAUACCAGCUGGCUGCAACUGUUUAUUAAAAACACAGCACUCUGCAAACACGAAAGUGGACGUAUAGGGUGUGAUGCCUGCCCGGUGCUGGAAGGUUAAUUGAUGGUGUAAUCGAAAGAGAAGCUCCUGAUCGAAGCCCCAGUAAACGGCGGCCGUAACUAUAACGGUCCUAAGGUAGCGAAAUUCCUUGUCGGGUAAGUUCCGACCUGCACGAAUGGCAUAAUGAUGGCCAGGCUGUCUCCACCCGAGACUCAGUGAAAUUGAAAUCGCCGUGAAGAUGCGGUGUACCCGCGGCUAGACGGAAAGACCCCGUGAACCUUUACUAUAGCUUGACACUGAACAUUGAAUUUUGAUGUGUAGGAUAGGUGGGAGACUUAGAAGUAGUCACGCCAGUGAUUAUGGAGUCGUCCUUGAAAUACCACCCUUUAACGUUUGAUGUUCUAACGAAGAUUACGAAACGUGGUCUCGGACAGUGUCUGGUGGGUAGUUUGACUGGGGCGGUCUCCUCCCAAAGAGUAACGGAGGAGCACGAAGGUUUGCUAAUGACGGUCGGACAUCGUCAGGUUAGUGCAAUGGUAUAAGCAAGCUUAACUGCGAGACAGACAAGUCGAGCAGGUACGAAAGUAGGUCAUAGUGAUCCGGUGGUUCUGAAUGGAAGGGCCAUCGCUCAACGGAUAAAA
Molecule: ribosomal RNA, 2062 nt
Filed under: metagenome
Description: bacterial LSU rRNA
Rfam family: Bacterial large subunit ribosomal RNA
Source: RNAcentral